This 299-nucleotide long non-coding RNA is filed under the name Ornithorhynchus anatinus (platypus). RNAcentral's name for it is "lncRNA (ENSOANG00000046123.1)". The record is from RNAcentral. Lineage: Eukaryota; Metazoa; Chordata; Mammalia; Monotremata; Ornithorhynchidae.
GCGUAUCUACCUAGCCUAUGGUAUCGUACCCUCCCAACUUCUUAUUACAGUGCUCUGCCCACAGGAAAUGCCAAUUGGCUGAUUGACUGGUUCAAGGAAGAAGCUUCAGGAAGAGGUGAAGAGAGACUCACCUGAGGGGAGUCCCAGCGAUUCUGUCAGAACUCAACAGAGAGACAGCUGUUCUAGCUGGGUGAGCAGAGCAAAGGAAGGAUUCCCACAAAGGAGAUCCCAGUUCAUAUGGCAGGACCAACCAGUGGGAGGAGUAAAAUAACAGGAACACCUGGACAAGGUAUAUGCUC